RNAcentral lists this ribosomal RNA (424 nucleotides) under uncultured bacterium. RNAcentral's name for it is "bacterial SSU rRNA". It matches the Rfam family "Bacterial small subunit ribosomal RNA", at positions 356 to 771 of the family's 1533-position model. The record is from RNAcentral.
GGGGAAUUUUUGUCAAUGGGGGCAACCCUGAACAAGCAACGCCGCGUGAAGGACGAAGACCUUCGGGUUGUAAACUUCUGUCGGAGGGGACGAAAGCAGUGGAGGUUAAUACCCACUAUUGUUGACGGUACCCUACGAGGAAGCCCCGGCUAACUCCGUGCCAGCAGCCGCGGUAAUACGGAGGGGGCUAGCGUUGUUCGGAUUUACUGGGCGUAAAGCGCGCGUAGGCGGCUUGGAAAGUUGGGAGUGAAAGCCCGGGGCUCAACCCCGGAACUGCUCUCAAAACUUCCAAGCUAGAGAUCUGGAGAGGAGGGUGGAAUUCCAAGUGUAGAGGUGAAAUUCGUAGAUAUUUGGAAGAACACCAGUGGCGAAGGCGACUCUCUGGCCAGAUACUGACGCUGAGGUGCGAAAGCGUGGGGAGCAA